This 529-nucleotide ribosomal RNA is filed under the name Bipolaris sp. UFMGCB 1847. RNAcentral describes it as "eukaryotic LSU rRNA". The stretch from base 175 to 329 matches the Rfam family "5.8S ribosomal RNA". The record is from RNAcentral. Lineage: Eukaryota; Fungi; Ascomycota; Dothideomycetes; Pleosporales; Pleosporaceae.
ACAACAAAUAUGAAGGCUGGCUUCGUCGGCCGGCUGAAGUAUUUUUGUUCUUCACCCAUGUCUUUUGCGCACUUGUUGUUUCCUGGGCGGGUUCGCCCGCCACCAGGACCAAACCAUAAACCUUUUUUUUUAUGUAGUUGCAAUCAGCGUCAGUAAAAACAAUGUAAUUAUUACAACUUUCAACAACGGAUCUCUUGGUUCUGGCAUCGAUGAAGAACGCAGCGAAAUUGCGAUACGUAGUGUGAAUUGCAGAAUUCAGUGAAUCAUCGAAUCUUUGAACGCACAUUGCGCCCUUUGGUAUUCCAAAGGGCAUGCCUGUUCGAGCGUCAUUUGUACCUUCAAGCUUUGCUUGGUGUUGGGCGUUUUUGUCUCUCGUUCUCGGGAGACUCGCCUUAAAACGAUUGGCAGCCGGCCUACUGGUUUCGGAGCGCAGCACAUAUUUUGCGCUUUGUAUCAGGAGAAAAGGACGGUAAUCCAUCAAGACUACAUUUUUAACUUUGACCUCGGAUCAGUAGGAUACCCCUGAACU